This is a long non-coding RNA of Xiphias gladius (swordfish), 554 nucleotides long. RefSeq lists it as uncharacterized. Lineage: Eukaryota; Metazoa; Chordata; Actinopteri; Istiophoriformes; Xiphiidae. The transcript has 3 exons. The record is from RefSeq and is a predicted model, not a curated record.
CUGUUCUUCUCCCCGCCACUAGAUGGAAGGCACGUACCGCGAAAAAUGAAGCAACAAACCUUGUGAACAUGAGCAGCCAGGCAUCAGAGCGGUACUCCAUAGACCCUCCUCCUUCUCCUCCUCCCUGUUCUGUCAAGAUCCUGGUCACCACUGAACACAGCAGAACUACUCAGGUACCAGAUGAAUUCCCACAGUGAACAAGAGAGAGCACAAAUCUUCUCCCACAGCACUUGACACAGCUGCCUCAGCUUCCAUCUUCGUUGACUCUGGAGGCAGAAGCAGCUGUGUCAACUGUGGGGUCAACUGAAACACAGUCUGCAGAGACAGACAAAGCACAGGCUGCUAUGACCAUGGAACAACAGUCUGCAGUAAAAAACGAAGCACAGUCUGGGCUGAAGAUGGAAGCAGAGGCAGCUGUGUCAAGUGCUGUGUCGACUGAAACACAGAUUGCAGAGACAAAUGACGCACAGUCUGCAAUGACAAUUGAAGGCAAGUCUGCUUUGAAAAUGGAAGCACUGCCUGCAGUGGAAACCAACACACAGUCUGCGAAGACU